Molecule: ribosomal RNA, 300 nt
Filed under: uncultured Nitrospira sp.
Lineage: Bacteria; Pseudomonadati; Nitrospirota; Nitrospiria; Nitrospirales; Nitrospiraceae
Description: bacterial SSU rRNA
Rfam family: Bacterial small subunit ribosomal RNA
Source: RNAcentral
AGUGAGGAAUAUUGCGCAAUGGGCGAAAGCCUGACUCAGCGACGCCGCGUGGGGGAUGAAGGUUUUCGGAUUGUAAACCCCUUUCAUGAGGAAAGAUAAAGUGGGUAACCACUUAGACGGUACCUCAAGAAGAAGCCACGGUUAACUUCGUGCCAGCAGCCGCGGUAAUACCAAGGUGGCAAGCGUUGUUCGGAUUUACUGGGCGUAAAGAGCACGUAGGCGGUUGGGAAAGCCUCUUGGGAAAUCUCCCGGCUUAACCGGGAAAGGUCGAAAGGAACUAUUCAGCUAGAGGACGGGAGA